This 210-nucleotide ribosomal RNA is filed under the name Ellisembia bambusicola. RNAcentral's name for it is "partial large subunit ribosomal RNA". Lineage: Eukaryota; Fungi; Ascomycota; Sordariomycetes; Sporidesmiaceae. The record is from RNAcentral.
AAGCGUUUGUGACCAGACUUGCGCCCGGUGAAUCAUCCAGCUCUCUGCGCUGGUGCACUUUGCCGGGCUCAGGCCAGCAUCGGUCUCCUUAGGGGGAUAAAAGCUCCGGGAACGUAGCUCUUUCGGGAGUGUUAUAGCCCGCUGCAGAAUACCCUUCGGGGGACCGAGGUUCGCGCUCCGCAAGGAUGCUGGCGUAAUGGUUACCAACGG